GUAUUAAUGGUCGAGUGGUCUAGGCGGGAGUUUUUUUUACUCCAGGACUUCAGAUGUCAGUGGUUCGACCCCUGUUGAGGAUA
This 83-nucleotide transfer RNA is filed under the name Dreissena polymorpha. Its description in RNAcentral is "tRNA-Lys". The record is from RNAcentral. Lineage: Eukaryota; Metazoa; Mollusca; Bivalvia; Myida; Dreissenidae.